This 322-nucleotide ribosomal RNA is filed under the name uncultured eukaryote. RNAcentral describes it as "partial 18S ribosomal RNA". It matches the Rfam family "Eukaryotic small subunit ribosomal RNA", at positions 1470 to 1796 of the family's 1831-position model. The record is from RNAcentral.
CCCUUAGAUGUUCUGGGCCGCACGCGUGCUACACUGAGUAAUUCAAUGGGUAAGGGAACGCUAGAGCAUUACCUAAUCUUGAAAUUUGCUCGUGAUGGGGAUCGACGGUUGCAAUUUUCCGACGUGAACGAGGAAUACCUUGUAGGCGCAUGUCAUCAUCAUGCGCCGAAUACGUCCCUGCCCUUUGUACACACCGCCCGUCGCUCCUACCGAUUGAGUGAUCCGGUGAGGCUCUGGGACCUGGACGGAAAGAGCGUUUCGCUUGUUCUGUUUGGGAAACUUGGUCGAACCUUAUCAUUUAGAGGAAGGAGAAGUCGUAACA